RNAcentral lists this ribosomal RNA (165 nucleotides) under Oenothera rosea. Its description in RNAcentral is "5.8S ribosomal RNA". It matches the Rfam family "5.8S ribosomal RNA". From Rfam's summary of the family: 5.8S ribosomal RNA (5.8S rRNA) is a component of the large subunit of the eukaryotic ribosome. Lineage: Eukaryota; Viridiplantae; Streptophyta; Magnoliopsida; Myrtales; Onagraceae. The record is from RNAcentral.
AAAACGACUCUCGGCAACGGAUAUCUCGGCUCUCGCAUCGAUGAAGAACGUAGCGAAAUGCGAUACUUGGUGUGAAUUGCAGAAUCCCGUGAACCAUCGAGUCUUUGAACGCAAGUUGCGCCCUAAGCCGUUUGGCCGAGGGCACGUCUGCCUGGGCGUCAAUCA